RNAcentral lists this microRNA precursor (104 nucleotides) under Marmota monax (woodchuck). The record is from RNAcentral. Lineage: Eukaryota; Metazoa; Chordata; Mammalia; Rodentia; Sciuridae.
AGUGGGAUAGCUGGGUCAAAAGGUGUUUCCAUUCCCAGUUUUCUAAGGUUUCUCCAUACUGCUUUCCAAAAGUGGUUGUACCAUUUUGCAAUCCUACCAGCAAU